UGUACAAAAGUCUCUCCCUAGAGUUGAGCAGGCUAGUUGUCUGUCAUCUUCUCCCGCUGGGGUGGCCAGAACCUAAGGGGUAUACUCGUGAGUCAAAUGGGCUGUAACCCAAAAUUUGGCUUAAAAAAGCCAAAUCUGGAAACAGAGCAAAACCUCCAGCAAAAAAAGGGGAAUAUUCUGAACAUGCAAUGCUGGUAUGUUGGAGAGGAGAAACGUCUUUGGAAAUUAAGAGACAAGUCAUCGAUGGAGGAUGAAACAAAGCAGAAAUAGGUUGGGCUCCUUUGAAGAAAAAACCCAAAUCUGAAAUAGCUGCCAAACCUUUGGAUGUUGGGGGUGGGAUUGCAGCAUUACAGAAAGAAGUGAGAAGAAAGAGACUAUUGGGGAAAGAGGCAAGUGUAGCAGCAGCAUCGGCAACUACUAUUUUCAACCUCCAUGCCCUCCUCAGGCUACAACACCUAACUGAUCCACCUCCUUCUCUGCUUCUGCUCCCCUAUUGUGUCCCCCUAUAAACAAUACUGGUAUAUAUCACCUAUUGUCCUCACCCCCAGUAAUUGAAGAGCAACACUGAAAAAUAAGGAGGAGGAAAUUGUGGUAUCAACAGCACUACAGAUGCACAUUUAUUCAGAAGGGCAGUUUCUCUUCUGUAAAUUCUUUCUCCUUCCAGCACUUGCCACCCACAAGGAUUGCCCUGUAUUGUACUGUGUACCUAUAUCACCACCCUGCUGGAGAAGAGGUUUUCAAUUCUCCAAGCUUCAAGUUAAGAGAAACCUCCUGUGAGGGAGUGUUUUCAUCAGGGAAAUUGUAUUGGGAGAAAGAGUUAAACCUUAUGCCUAAAUGAGCAUAAAAAUAUUUAAACUUAGAUCCAGAAAAGAGAGAGGUUGGAGAGAACAUGUCAACAUAAGACAAAACAUGCUAAUUUAGACCAAAGAUCCCAACAUGAUCACAACACAAAAUAGGGUAUAUUACUGAUCCAGAAGAUAAAUCUAAAUGCCAAAAAAGACCAGGAAAGAAAGCUUAUACAGUAAUGGGCUGCUAAAAGCUAUGAGUAUAGCUAGAAGUGGGUAUUUUAAUAACAAACUUUAUAAGUCCUACAUAAAACAGCCAAACACAGUUAAAAUCAUUCCAUAAAGAUAAAAUAUAAAACCUUCGGAUACAAAUAGCAACAUAGUAACAAAGAUAAUAUAAAAAUGUCCCAAAUUGUAAAAAUACAUGCUCACAAGUGAGCCAAAGCCUUCUUGAGAACUGAAUGCUGUAGCACCAAAUAGUGAUAAGUCUUCCCAAAGUGUAAAAGUCCUGUUCAAUGGGUCAGACGCGUUAAACCAAAGAUCCAAGUCCAGCAUCCUGUUUCCCACAGUGGCCAACCAGAUGCUACAAAAAGAUUGUGACAAACCCGGUUCCCUCACUCACAUGAAGUGGAUUUGUGAGGAUUGGUUUUUCUGUGGGAAAAAUAUCCCAUGUUAAAAGUAUGAUUUCCAAUCAUUUAUUACCAUUGAACCAAGGUGGAACAAUUAAAUGUCCAGAUGUAUAAGGACUUGAUUUCUAAUCUCCAUAAAAUGGCUAGAGUAGAAACAGAAGCAUCCCGAAAGGACAAACCUUGCUUACCAUUAAAUCUUGGUACAGAUGGAUUUGGGACCUCCUAACUAUGGACAAACUAAUGUACCAAACAAGGGCAACUAGGAACGUGGUAAAACCAGAAGCUUUCUUCGGACAUUUCAUACCCUUUUAUUGCACCCACAGAUUACCUAGGAGCAAACACCAUUUCAUCUAGCACUGUUGAUGUACAGAUUUUUUGUAAGUUUUAUUAUACUAACUAAAUUACUCAAUGGAAGUCCUAUUGAAAAUAAGUAAUCACUUAGAGUAACUUCUGAGCAGUAAUAUUGAGCAAUUUAGCUGGAAGUCAGCCCAUGAGUUCUGGUUUGUUCUAAAUAUGUGUGUUUUAUUUUUUCUUAUUACGCAUGGAAUUUCAAGACAUUGGACAAUACAUAAACAUGCUAGAUAAUUUCAUCCUCAGCUUUUCCAUUUUACUUAAGAAUUAUAUGUAUUUGAAGUUCUUAAAAAAUUAGCCCUCAAGCACAGUGCUGAAUGAGUAAACCCUACAAGAUUUUGAGUGUCUAAACCAAUUUUAUUCUUUUCUCCCUGUAUUGAAUAACUAGGAUGCCUUGAGGAAGUGCACUGAAAUCUGAAACAUUAGGCGAGCUGAUGUGAGGAGGAAUUUUCUGAGUCAUUCCUCAGGGUAUUGGCAAUUGUGGAUGCACUGGAAAGAACCUUGAGAAAAAGCUAAUUUUAAUGUAAUUUUAUAAUUUACUCCUACAACCUUUAGAAAUGAUUCAAGACACUCUAGUUUUUUCUUCCUUGGAGUAUGUUCAUAUUUUUUGUCAGUAAAUUCACUGAAAAUCCCUAAUGCAGCUUCUAAAUUUCAAUCUUAAUUGCAUGGCUGAUCUGAUAGAUAGCAACAUUUCGACUUUUCUAAAAUGAUAUGUGGGUAUUAUGAUAGACCGCUGUAAAUUCCCUGCAGUGAAAAUUCCUCCACUCUUUUUUCUUUUUUAACCUUCCCCCACCCCUUACCAUUUCUAUUAUUUUGGCAUUCUACUCAUAAUAUAAAUCUUUCCUGAUAUUUUUAAGAAAAAGCAUAUUGGCAUCAAUGUAUUCUUGCUGUAUUUUUAUAUAUACAGAAAAUAUACAUAAGAUACAUUAAUACUAUAUUAUAGCAUUAACCUCUUAUCAAAUUCAAUAAAUAAAUAAAACUAGGUGGCCCAGGCAAAGAGCAUCUGUGCUUCUAGUUAUCCCCCUCCUUCCCCCCUCGUUCUCGACCCUCUACAUCCCUCUUGGCUC
Molecule: long non-coding RNA, 2832 nt
Organism: Hemicordylus capensis (graceful crag lizard)
Lineage: Eukaryota; Metazoa; Chordata; Lepidosauria; Squamata; Cordylidae
Exons: 5
Source: RefSeq, a predicted model, not a curated record